RNAcentral lists this ribosomal RNA (433 nucleotides) under uncultured bacterium. Its description in RNAcentral is "partial 16S ribosomal RNA". It matches the Rfam family "Bacterial small subunit ribosomal RNA", at positions 29 to 507 of the family's 1533-position model. The record is from RNAcentral.
AACGAACGCUGGCGGCAUGCCUAACACAUGCAAGUCGAACGAGACCUUCGGGCCUAGUGGCGCACGGGUGCGUAACGAGUGGGAACCUGCCCUUAGGUUCGGAAUAACUCACCGAAAGAGGUGCUAAUACCGGAUAAUGUCAUCGCACCAAAGAUUUAUCGCCAUGGGAUGGGCCUGCGUAGGAUUGGCCAGUUGGUAGGGUAAAAGCAUGCCAAGGCGACGAUCCAUAGCUGGUCGGAGAGGAUGAUCAGCCACACUGGGACUAAGACACGGCCCAGACUGCUACGGGAGGGUGCAGAGGGGAAUAUUGGACAAUGGGGGAAGGCCUGAUCCAGCAAUGCCGCGUAAGUGAGGAAGGCGUUAGGGUUGUAAAGCUCUUUUACCCGGGAUGUUAGUGACGGUACCGGGAGAAUAAGCACCGGCUAACUCCGUG